GACGAACGCUGGCGGCGUGCUUAACACAUGCAAGUCGAACGAAGUGGCGAACGGGUGAGUAACGCGGAAGCAACCUGCCCGUCAGAGGGGGACAACAGUUGGAAACGACUGCAAAUACCGCAUAAGGAAGGAGGGGAUUGAGUCGGAUUAGCUAGUGGGAGGGGUAACGGCCCACCAAGGCGAUGUUCAGUAGCCGGUCUGAGAGGAUGAUCUGCCACAUUGGGACUGAGACCCGGCCCAGACUCCUACGGGAGGCAGCAGUGGGGAAUCUUCCGCAAUGGACGAAAGUCUGACGGAGCAACGCCGCGUGAGUGAUGACGGCCUUCGGGUUGUAAAGCUCUGUUAAUCGGGACGCGGUACCUGACUAGAAAGCCACGGCUAACUACGUGCCAGCAGCCGCGGUAAUAC
RNAcentral lists this ribosomal RNA (408 nucleotides) under uncultured bacterium. Its description in RNAcentral is "partial 16S ribosomal RNA". It matches the Rfam family "Bacterial small subunit ribosomal RNA", at positions 28 to 526 of the family's 1533-position model. The record is from RNAcentral.